GUACAUUAGACAUUCAAUAUAUAAGACUGGAGUGAGACUGAUUAGGCAUUUAAAUAUGUUGCAGGAUGUUGUUUGAAUUACUUGUCCUAACAGGUGCACAAGUUGGGAUGGAUUGGACUUCUAUCUUGAGAAAACACCAUGAUUUCAGGGCUGCUUUCGCCGGGUUUGAUGCAGAAAUCGUUGCCAACUUCACAAAAAGACAAAUAGCAUCAGUGGCCACAGAUUGCAACUUGGAUUUAAACACGGUUCGAGGUGCCGUCAACAAUACUAACAGAAUCCUCCAGGUCA
Long non-coding RNA from Magnolia sinica, 288 nucleotides. RefSeq lists it as uncharacterized. The record is from RefSeq and is a predicted model, not a curated record. NCBI's taxonomy places the organism in Eukaryota, Viridiplantae, Streptophyta, Magnoliopsida, Magnoliales, Magnoliaceae. The transcript has 2 exons.